Molecule: ribosomal RNA, 450 nt
Filed under: uncultured Glomeromycotina
Lineage: Eukaryota; Fungi; Glomeromycota
Description: SSU rRNA
Rfam family: Eukaryotic small subunit ribosomal RNA
Source: RNAcentral
AGCAGCCGCGGUAAUUCCAGCUCCAAUAGCGUAUAUUAAAGUUGUUGCAGUUAAAAAGCUCGUAGUUGAAUUUCGGGGUUUAUCCGUUGGUCGGGCUUUUGGGUCUGUACUGGCGUGAUGGAUUCCUACCUUCUGAAUAACCAGCAUGUCAUUAAUUUGGUGCGUUGGGGAAGCAGGACUGUUACCUUGAAAAAAUUAGAGUGCUUAAAGCAGGCUAUUGCCUGAAUACAUUAGCAUGGAAUAAUGAAAUAGGACGCAUGGUUCUAUUUUGUUGGUUUCUAGGAUCACCGUAAUGAUUAAUAGGGAUAGUUGGGGGCAUUAGUAUUCAAUUGUCAGAGGUGAAAUUCUUGGAUUUAUUGAAGACUAACUUCUGCGAAAGCAUUUGCCGAGGAUGUUUUCAUUAAUCAAGAACGAAAGUUAGGGGAUCGAAGACGAUCAGAUACCGUCGUA